AGAUGAGAGGGAGGUUUAAGUGUCAGAUGGCCCAAUCUACCCCCUUCUCCUUACCAUCAAUACAUAACAGAGCCAUUCUCAGGCCUUGUCUAAUGGAACUUGCUGUGUGGCCCCUGAGGACAGAAUUCAUGGGGGACAUAUGUAUUAUCUACCCAUAUUGAAUGUUGAAGAUCUGCUGUGCAAGCUUUCGGUAUUCCUAAAGUUGCCUGAUCCAAGACAAGAUCUGAUUGCUACCUUCCUGGUUUAAUCUCUGCAAGUUCCUGACUUGGGUUUGGGACUAUGCACAGGUAGACAGCCACUAAAUUCUAUUCUUAUCAACCAGCUGGACAGCUCUGUUGGCUGGAGUGGCAAAACAAUAGACUCCCUUUUGGUCCUACACUGCUAAUUCCUCUGGGGCUGGGUUUGCAUUGGCAAGUAAGACCCUGCUUUGUGCCUGAGCCAUACCACUGCUGCUGCUGCUGUUCCUGAACUUCUUUCUCAGCUCACCACCCUGGAACUUCCUAACCAGAAUGUGCAAUAGCCAUGCAAAGAUCCUACUCUGCCCUGGACCUUUCCACAGCUGGUAGUGGGUGAAAAAGCUUCCAGUUGGCAUCUGUUCUACUAUUGCAGUGUCCUGGUGUGGGUCUGAGGGUGCCUUGGUAUGGUGAUGGCUACUGAAUACUGGGUGAUCUUGACUUUGACUCCUCAAUACAUGAAUUAUUUCUCUCUGGAGGCUCGAAUGCUUUGACCUGGAGAUUCUGGAUUUUGUUUAUGAUGUUUCUGGGACUUUUCAUUUGAGGGUUUUCUUUGAGGAUUUGUCUUGUGGACUCUAUCUAUUUACACUUUGUCCUUUGGUUAUAAGAGAUCUGGGUAGUUUCUUUUAGAAAUAGGCUCUCUUGGGGGCAGCUAAGUGGCUCAGUGGUUUGAGAGCCAGGCCUAGAGACAGGAGGUUCUGGGUUCAAAUAUAGCCUUGGACACUUCCCAACUGUGUGACCCUGAACAAGUCAUGAUAUUGAUUCUAAGGCAGAAGGUAAGGAUUAAAAAAAAAAAAGAUGGGUAUGGGACAUCCUGCUCAAAAUGUCCAAAAGGUAGUUGACAAGAGGAGAUAGGACUCAGGAAAAAAAAAGGGCUGGAUUUAUAUAUCUCUUG
Monodelphis domestica (gray short-tailed opossum) is the source of this 1128-nucleotide non-coding RNA. The record is from RefSeq and is a predicted model, not a curated record. NCBI's taxonomy places the organism in Eukaryota, Metazoa, Chordata, Mammalia, Didelphimorphia, Didelphidae.